RNAcentral lists this ribosomal RNA (487 nucleotides) under uncultured bacterium. RNAcentral describes it as "bacterial SSU rRNA". It matches the Rfam family "Bacterial small subunit ribosomal RNA", at positions 29 to 526 of the family's 1533-position model. The record is from RNAcentral.
AACGAACGCUGGCGGCAGGCUUAACACAUGCAAGUCGAACGAUGAAGGAGAGAGCUUGCUCUUUUUGGAUUAGUGGCGAACGGGUGAGUAACACGUGAGUAAUCUGCCCCGGACUCUGGGAUAAGCGUUGGAAACGACGUCUAAUACCGGAUAUGAAGCGUGGAGGCAUCUUCUGCGUUUGGAAAGAUUUUUUGGUUUGGGAUGAGCUCGCGGCCUAUCAGCUUGUUGGUGAGGUAAUGGCUUACCAAGGCGACGACGGGUAGCCGGCCUGAGAGGGUGACCGGCCACACUGGGACUGAGACACGGCCCAGACUCCUACGGGAGGCAGCAGUGGGGAAUAUUGCACAAUGGGCGCAAGCCUGAUGCAGCAACGCCGCGUGAGGGAUGACGGCCUUCGGGUUGUAAAGCUCUUUCGUCGAGUGCGCGAUCAUGACAGGACUCGAGGAAGAAGCCCCGGCUAACUCCGUGCCAGCAGCCGCGGUAAAAC